RNAcentral lists this ribosomal RNA (179 nucleotides) under Salmonella enterica. RNAcentral describes it as "partial 16S ribosomal RNA". It matches the Rfam family "Bacterial small subunit ribosomal RNA", at positions 1 to 173 of the family's 1533-position model. The record is from RNAcentral. Lineage: Bacteria; Pseudomonadati; Pseudomonadota; Gammaproteobacteria; Enterobacterales; Enterobacteriaceae. RNAcentral also lists the same sequence under 12 other names.
AAAUUGAAGAGUUUGAUCAUGGCUCAGAUUGAACGCUGGCGGCAGGCCUAACACAUGCAAGUCGAACGGUAACAGGAAGCAGCUUGCUGCUUUGCUGACGAGUGGCGGACGGGUGAGUAAUGUCUGGGAAACUGCCUGAUGGAGGGGGAUAACUACUGGAAACGGUGGCUAAUACCGCA